AAGCCAGAGCAGACAGCAAUUUCGGGACAUUGCAGAGCUGUAGUAGAUCUGUACUGGUCUGCAGACAGACAAUAAUUUGCACUAAGACCAGGAAGACGUUCUGUGAGGAAGACAUAGGUGGAAAUACGGAAAGCAGAAAAGACAACUUCGGGGUGGCCGGGAGAUAACAGAAGUUACUAAAUCCAUGGCUCAGCAAUGAACUUCCUACUCCCAGCAACUCUAAGAGGCUGCUCCUGAGGUGUCUCCCAGCCCAUGAGCUCUGAUGCAGUGCAUUCCUGCCAGGAACUUCAUUUCAGCCUCAGGUGCA
RNAcentral lists this long non-coding RNA (307 nucleotides) under Homo sapiens (human). RNAcentral's name for it is "HSALNT0367107". Lineage: Eukaryota; Metazoa; Chordata; Mammalia; Primates; Hominidae. The record is from RNAcentral.